This 160-nucleotide ribosomal RNA is filed under the name uncultured Alishewanella sp. Its description in RNAcentral is "partial 16S ribosomal RNA". It matches the Rfam family "Bacterial small subunit ribosomal RNA", at positions 373 to 525 of the family's 1533-position model. Lineage: Bacteria; Pseudomonadati; Pseudomonadota; Gammaproteobacteria; Alteromonadales; Alteromonadaceae. The record is from RNAcentral.
GGGCGCAAGCCUGAUCCAGCCAUGCCGCGUGUGUGAAGAAGGCCUUCGGGUUGUAAAGCACUUUCAGUGGGGAGGAAGGGGUGAAUGUUAAUAGUAUUCAUCUUUGACGUUACCCACAGAAGAAGCACCGGCUAACUCCGUGCCAGCAGCCGCGGUAAUA